This 942-nucleotide long non-coding RNA is filed under the name Olea europaea subsp. europaea. Lineage: Eukaryota; Viridiplantae; Streptophyta; Magnoliopsida; Lamiales; Oleaceae. The record is from RNAcentral.
CGCUCUGCACUAUCGUGAAUGUGUUUCCAUAGUGUAUGACCAGAUUAUCAGAGGUUUUUGGGACCCACUCUCGUACACACAUAGGCUUUGAGCCGUGUACUAGGGUGAUUAGCCUUUGGGGCAACUCUGCGUACGUAUGACCAGAUUAUCAGCUAUCAGAUUAUCAGAUUUGAAUGGCUUUGCCUUAUACAUCGAGAUUACUCUGUACAUGUGUAAGGCUAUUCAUUGGAUACUCUUUAUGGUGUGAUUUUUCAGUACUUAUUUAGUUCUCAGAUUUCAGAUUAUGGAAUUUAGUUAAUUCAGUUUUCAGAAUAAAGCUUUCAGCUUCUAGUAUUGAGCAGCAGCAAUAUUUCAUAGAUUUUCAUGAAUAUCAGAUUCUUUAUAAUUGUUAUACCUUACAGAUGCUUAUCUAGAAUUUAGAACAAAGAAUUUUAUGAUGAAAUUAUGUUUAGUUUUAAAAGUGUUACCAGAUUUCAGAAUUUCUCAAAGUUUUGAUAGAGCAAGAAUUUUCAGAAUAUAUGCAUAAAAAAAAAUAUGUUUAUUUGUAAAUUAUCCACUCACAUAACUUUAAGCUCAUAUAUUUUUUCACCUUUUUCUUUAUCAGACAGAAAACAGACAAAUUGAGCAGCUUUGGAGCAUGUCGAACUACCGAAUUGAGCCACGCAUCAUAAGUUGUAUGACAUCUUUUAUCAGAUUAUACAUUGUGUUCUUUUGGGAUACACAUAGGUUAAAUCAGAAAAGUUCAUUAUGGGCUCAUUAGACAUUUGGUAUCUUUAGUACUUUUAAAGAUUAUUGGUUGUAAAGCAAGUAAAUAUUGAUUUCCUAGCAUUUUAUUUGAAUAGUUUGUAUUUUUGAGGGACUCGCAUAUCCUGAUUUAUAUUAUAGGUAUUGAUUUGAGGAAAAUUAGUUAUUGUUCAGGUGGUUUUAGUUCGUAUUUUAGAG